GCUCCAGUGAUUCAGUGGUAGAGUUCCUGUAUUUGGUGAGCGAAGACGCCUAGCUAUAACUGUCAGGAGGUCGCAGGUUCGAAUCCUACUCGGUGGCU
Molecule: non-coding RNA, 98 nt
Organism: Meloidogyne enterolobii
Lineage: Eukaryota; Metazoa; Nematoda; Chromadorea; Rhabditida; Meloidogynidae
Source: the annotation of a GenBank genome assembly